UACACAGCUCUGCAAGCAACCCUGACAGGUGACGAGGAACAGUAUAUCAGCAUAUUGUUGAAAACAAAAUAUCAACAGUUAGGCAAAAUUAAGUUUCACGAAGGGGUCGUUGGCACAAUAGUCAUCUUAACUGCAUUAUUUCAAGCGAUUAUAAGUUCAACGUACGCAAAUGAACGCAAGCAUUUAAAUAUUGUCCUAAAUUCUUCAACGCCAUCUUUAAUAAGUGCAUUGCUUUUAU
Molecule: long non-coding RNA, 238 nt
Organism: Vanessa atalanta (red admiral)
Lineage: Eukaryota; Metazoa; Arthropoda; Insecta; Lepidoptera; Nymphalidae
Exons: 3
Source: RefSeq, a predicted model, not a curated record